This 248-nucleotide ribosomal RNA is filed under the name uncultured bacterium. RNAcentral describes it as "partial 16S ribosomal RNA". It matches the Rfam family "Bacterial small subunit ribosomal RNA", at positions 524 to 772 of the family's 1533-position model. The record is from RNAcentral.
UACGUAGGGUGCAAGCGUUAAUCGGAAUUACUGGGCGUAAAGCGUGCGCAGGCGGUUUUGUAAGUCAGAUGUGAAAUCCCCGGGCUUAACCUGGGAACUGCGUUUGAAACUACAAGGCUAGAGUGUGACAGAGGGGGGUGGAAUUCCACGUGUAGCAGUGAAAUGCGUAGAGAUGUGGAGGAACACCGAUGGCGAAGGCAGCCCCCUGGGUCAAGAUUGACGCUCAUGCACGAAGCGUGGGGAGCAAA